AGUAACGGCGAAGUGAAGCGGCAACAGCUCAAAUUUGAAAUCUGGUCCUCGCGGCCCGAGUUUGUAAUUUGUAGAGGAUGCUUUUGGACAGGUGCCUUCUGAGUUCCCUGGAACGGGACGCCAGAGAGGGUGAGAGCCCCGUAUAGUCGGACACCUAGCCUCUGUAAAGCUCCUUCGACGAGUCGAGUAGUUUGGGAAUGCUGCUCAAAAUGGGAGGUAUAUCUCUUCUAAAGCUAAAUAUAGGCCAGAGACCGAUAGCGCACAAGUAGAGUGAUCGAAAGAUGAAAAGCACUUUGAAAAGAGGGUUAAAUAGCACGUGAAAUUGUUGAAAGGGAAGCGCUUGUGACCAGACUUGUGCCGGGCUGAUCAUCCAGUGUUCUCACUGGUGCACUCGACCCGGCUCAGGCCAGCGUCGGUUCUCGCGGGGGGAUAAAAGCUUCGGGAACGUGGCUCCCUCCGGGAGUGUUAUAGCCCGUUGUUUAAUACCUCCGCGGGGACCGAGGUUCGCGCUCUGCAAGGACGCUGGCAUAAUGGUCAUCAGCGACCCGUCUUGAAACACGGACCAAGGAGUCGAGGUUUUGCGCGAGUGUUUGGGUGUAAAACCCGCACGCGUAAUGAAAGUGAACGUAGGUGAGAGCUUCGGCGCAUCAUCGACCGAUCCUGAUGUAUUCGGAUGGAUUUGAGUAAGAGCGUAUAGCCUCGGACCCGAAAGAUGGUGAACUAUGCCUGAAUAGGGUGAAGCCAGAGGAAACUCUGGUGGAGGCUCGCAGCGGUUCUGACGUGCAAAUCGAUCGUCAAAUUU
RNAcentral lists this ribosomal RNA (802 nucleotides) under Coniochaeta fodinicola. RNAcentral describes it as "LSU rRNA". It matches the Rfam family "Eukaryotic large subunit ribosomal RNA", at positions 82 to 912 of the family's 3401-position model. Lineage: Eukaryota; Fungi; Ascomycota; Sordariomycetes; Coniochaetales; Coniochaetaceae. The record is from RNAcentral.